Long non-coding RNA from Marmota monax (woodchuck), 2541 nucleotides. RefSeq lists it as uncharacterized. The transcript has 8 exons. NCBI's taxonomy places the organism in Eukaryota, Metazoa, Chordata, Mammalia, Rodentia, Sciuridae. The record is from RefSeq and is a predicted model, not a curated record.
GCGGGCAUGGUGCUGGGCGACGGCCCGGGGUCUGCAGUGAGAGGUCGCGUGGCGUCAGCGCCCAGCCGGAGGCACCCACGCCCCAUCCUCCCCGGCCCAGGCCAGUCAGGCAGGAGGCACAGGGACCGCAGCCCUGGCAGCCCAGAGCCCUGUCCUCAGUAGACCAGCAGGCCACCCCAGGGAAGGCAUUUCCAAGGGCAUGGUGGUGCGGACCUCAAUGAUGGCCGACAGAGGGAUGCUGACCUUGGGCCUGGAGGCCUAAGAGGCCAGGGGAAAGGUCUUGAGGGGUGAGCCCCACCUGGGCUGCCCCCCGCCUCACACCUCCUCCAGACCUGUGGUCUUCCCACUUUUGACCUUGACCCACAGUAAGAAAUGCACUUGACGCUGCAGCCCAGCAUGCACCUACCCAGUUCAUUAAAAAGAAGAAGAAGAAAAGCUGGCCUCCUGCUUCAGCUCCAGUGUCUCUCCCGGGGCCCCAGGAGCUCACUCUAUUAAAGUUUGUAUCCAGCCUGCAAAUGUGGGUUUCCUGGUGGCAACCCAAUGGCAGAGGCCAGCCCCACUGCUUCUUGGGUCCGCCAAGAAGAUCCUCAGCAGAGACCGGAAACGUGGAGCUUCCUGCUCUUGGACUUUCAGCCUCCAAAAUUGUGAUGAAGAAAUCUCUUUUCUUUAUCGAAUAUCUAGCUUCAGGGUACAGGGAGAAGCUCACCUUGGGCGGCACGAAGAACUCCAGGCGGAAGCGUUCCCCAGCAACCGCCCUGCGUAGGAGCAGGCGGCACUUCUGCCACUGCGCGGCGCCCCCAGGGCCUGUGGCUGCAUCGUCCGCCACCAUAAAGCGCAGCGCACCCUCGCGCUGAAUGUCCACCAGCUCCACCUUGGCCGCCAGAGUCCGCGAUAGCCGAAGGCGCCGUGUCCACUUGUCACGUGGCUCCGCAGGGGGCUCAGCGGCCCUCGGGGUGGCCCCAGCUUCGGGCUCAGGGGAGGCACGCCGGUGCCACAUGUCCCGCACACCGUCCACCACGCACAGGCUCAUGUUGCGCAGGGAGAAGCCCUUGCGGACCCGGGCCUUGGCCGCCACGUGCGCCGACACGUCCUCCGAGCUCCGCGAGUGGCCAUAGGCCGUAGUCUUGAGCGCUGAGGUCCCCACGGGCUCAGGCUCCAUGGCGUUGGCGCGCUCAGGGGUCCCCCGCGACGCUGGCCCUGCCACCAGCAUGCGGCGCACCUCCUCGCUGAAGACGUCCAGGAAGUUGGCGGUGAAGUGGCGGGAAAAGGAGGUCCCGGCGUCCGGCGUGUCGUAGGCCGGGUUGUCCCGCAAGAAGCGGCAAAACUUGUGCGCGAAGUCCACGGCGGCCACUUGCGCAUGCAGCUCGCAGAACUGCCGCCAGUCCGGGACAGGGACCGGGGUAGCGGCGGCGGCGCCAGGGUCGGCACCGUUCAUGGCUCCCGUCCCAUUGUGGUAUCCUGCAGCUGUGGGGACAAGAGCAGCAGUGACCUUCUGACCUCUGACCUGCGUGCCCAUCUGUCACCUCCUUUGGGCAGCAGGGCUCCCCAAGGCUGUGCAUGUGAGUGCUGCAGACUGCUGCCCUCAGCUGCUAGAGCAGCCGGGAAGCGUGAAGAGGAAGGAAACAGAGGACAACGUGGUGUCCCCAGGGAAGGGAGCCCCCACAUUCAUAUCCUUCCAAACAGCAAUCUCAGGGAACCCCAGGGUCAUUCCUGUGGUCUGCAGAGGAGGCUGGAGUGACAGAUGCCUUCAAGUGGGGCCCCUAUAAGCCUUCAGUGACCUCACUUUCCUCAGUAACCUCUUCUAAGGUCCCCAAAACCUGGUGGGCAAGAAGAAGUCACACACAAUCCAAUUGGCUCUGCCUCUGAAAUGGGCAGAGAGCCCAGCCAGCCCUUGGCCACUCCUCCACAGGCUUCCGAGUCCUUCCCAAGCCUGGCAUGGUGGCCUCUAAUUCCAGUGACGUCUUGGGAGGGCAAGGCAGGAAGACUGCAAGUUUGAGACCAGCCUCAGCCGCUUAGCAAGACCGUGUCUCAAAAUAAAAAAUAAAAAGGGCUGGGGAUGUGGCUCAGCGGUAGAGCUGCCCAGAGUUCAACCCCAAGUUCAGGGGGAGAAAAAGAAAAAUCCGUCCCUUGCCUGCAGUACUUCAGAGUGCCUUCACCUGUCCAGCGAGCCUGACCUCAGUCUCUAGUCUGCUUUCCACCAGGACCCCAGUCACCAUUAAAACACAGGACACAUUUGGUCCCUUUGCCCUCAAAUCCCACCAAAGCUGGGAGCAGAAGUCAGAGUCCUUCCCGGCUCCCCAGGCCUGGCAGCAGCUACUGCAUUUACCUCUGUAGACCCGCCUCCUGCUGCUUGCUCCUGGGUGCCUGCCUACUUGCCAUCCUGGAGGUGUGCUGGCUGGGUUCCCACCUCAGGGCCUUUGCUUGUGCCUUCAGUGUCCUCUCCCUCACAUCCUUUGGGGCUUUUCUAAUAUCAUUCUGCCCCACUGCCUGGCCUGGACACUCUAUUGAGAACAACAAAUGUUCCAUACUCUCCAGCACAGA